RNAcentral lists this long non-coding RNA (841 nucleotides) under Ictidomys tridecemlineatus (thirteen-lined ground squirrel). Its description in RNAcentral is "lncRNA (ENSSTOG00000034050.1)". The record is from RNAcentral. Lineage: Eukaryota; Metazoa; Chordata; Mammalia; Rodentia; Sciuridae.
UUGUGCAGCCCACAGCAGAGCUUCAUCUUUCAGAUUGAUGAUUUGAGGCCUCCCACCUUGCGAAACUAGACCAGAUCAGCCCACAGCUCAUCCAGCCCAAGAAGCUGCUGCAGGACAUCAGUGAGCCCUGCCACCAGUAUCUGGAGAAGCUGGUCCUGCAGAAGGUGCUGGCAUCACUGAGCUCCAGGUAUUUGUGGAUCUGGCCUCCAUCUCAGCAAGAGAGAACAACAUUGAUGUGGAUCAGUGGCCUGCUUCCAUGAUGCUGUGCAGGACUACGUGUCUCUGCUGUAUAAGCCAGACAAGAAGGCAGGCUUCAGCAAGUUCAUGGAACUACUGAAAGAACUCUGGAAGGCUCUGCAAAAUGACCCCCAUCAGCCCAGUAAGCUGCGAGAUUCUGCCAGGAACUUGGAGUGGCUGAAGACAGUGAAGAAAAGCCAUGGGUCUAUCAAGUUCUCAUCCCUGUCCCUGGCCACAGUGAUCAACAGCAGAGGCAUAUGUGAGAUCAGGGCAUCCAGGUUCCAGAUGCGGUGUUGGUGGCACGCACUGGCCUGCUGCAGAGUCAGGGUUUCAGCCACCAGAAAAUGGCCUCUAAGAAUGUUGUGCCUCCCAGAUCUCCCCAGAUGCCAUCCUGUGCCUGAUCCUCCCUGGGGGUCACAGUGGCCUGGAGCCAGAUUUCUCCUACACUUUGGAAGAGCUGAAGAAUCUUUUAAACAAGCUGAUGCUGAUGUCUGGCAAGAAAGACCACAAGAGUAUGGAAGUAGAGAGGUUCUCUGAGGUGAGCAGGUGCCCCUGUUGCCUCAGGCUGGGCAUGCUCACUGCCCUGCUACCUGCAAAGGGGAAC